RNAcentral lists this ribosomal RNA (506 nucleotides) under uncultured Glomus. RNAcentral describes it as "SSU rRNA". It matches the Rfam family "Eukaryotic small subunit ribosomal RNA", at positions 569 to 1078 of the family's 1831-position model. The record is from RNAcentral. Lineage: Eukaryota; Fungi; Glomeromycota; Glomeromycetes; Glomerales; Glomeraceae.
AGCAGCCGCGGUAAUUCCAGCUCCAAUAGCGUAUAUUAAAGUUGUUGCAGUUAAAAAGCUCGUAGUUGAAUUUCGGGGUCAGUAGGUUGGUCGUGCCACUGGUAUGCACUGGCCUUACUGAUUCCUCCUUCUUGAAGAACUGUAAUGUCAUUAAUUUGGUGUUGCAGGGAAACAGGACUGGUACUUUGAAAAAAUUAGAGUGUUUAAAGCAGGCUAACGCUUGAAUACAUUAGCAUGGAAUAAUGAAAUAGGACGUUUAAUCCUAUUUUGUUGGUUUCUAGGAUUGACGUAAUGAUUAAUAGGGAUAGUUGGGGCAUUAGUAUUCAAUUGUCAGAGGUGAAAUUCUUGGAUUUAUUGAAGACUAACUUCUGCGAAAGCAUUUGCCAAGGAUGUUUUCAUUAAUCAAGAACGAAAGUUAGGGGAUCGAAGACGAUCAGAUACCGUCGUAGUCUUAACCGUAAACUAUGCCGACUAGGGAUCGGACGAUGUUAAUUUUUCUUGACUCG